RNAcentral lists this ribosomal RNA (946 nucleotides) under uncultured Bacteroidota bacterium. Its description in RNAcentral is "bacterial SSU rRNA". It matches the Rfam family "Bacterial small subunit ribosomal RNA", at positions 524 to 1482 of the family's 1533-position model. The record is from RNAcentral. Lineage: Bacteria; Pseudomonadati; Bacteroidota.
UACGGAGGAUGCGAGCGUUAUCCGGAUUUAUUGGGUUUAAAGGGCGCGUAGGCGGAUUAAUAAGUCAGUGGUGAAAACCUUCAGCUUAACUGGAGACUUGCCAUUGAUACUGUUAGUCUUGAGUACGGUCAAGGUAGGCGGAAUGUGUAAUGUAGCGGUGAAAUGCUUAGAUAUUACACAGAACACCGAUUGCGAAGGCAGCUUACUGGGCCAUUACUGACGCUGAUGCACGAAAGCGUGGGGAGCGAACAGGAUUAGAUACCCUGGUAGUCCACGCCGUAAACGAUGAUCACUCGCUGUUAGCGAUACACAGUUAGCGGCUAAGCAAAAGCAUUAAGUGAUCCACCUGGGGAGUACGGCCGCAAGGCUGAAACUCAAAGGAAUUGACGGGGGCCCGCACAAGCGGAGGAACAUGUGGUUUAAUUCGAUGAUACGCGAGGAACCUUACCUGGGCUUAAAUGUAGAGUGCAUGAAGUAGAAAUAUUUCUUUCCUUCGGGACUCUUUGCAAGGUGCUGCAUGGUUGUCGUCAGCUCGUGCCGUGAGGUGUCGGGUUAAGUCCCAUAACGAGCGCAACCCUUAUCGUUAGUUGCCAGCGGGUAAUGCCGGGAACUCUAACGAAACUGCCGGUGUAAACCGUGAGGAAGGUGGGGAUGACGUCAAAUCAGCACGGCCCUUAUGUCCAGGGCUACACACGUGUUACAAUGGCCGGUACAGAGGGCAGCUACCUGGAGACAGGAUGCGAAUCUCCAAAGCCGGUCUCAGUUCGGAUCGGAGUCUGCAACUCGACUCCGUGAAGCUGGAUUCGCUAGUAAUCGCGCAUCAGCCAUGGCGCGGUGAAUACGUUCCCGGGCCUUGUACACACCGCCCGUCAAGCCAUGGAAGUUGGGGGUACCUGAAGUCCGUAACCGUAAGGAGCGGCCUAGGGUAAAACUAGUGACUGGGGCU